Molecule: long non-coding RNA, 2602 nt
Organism: Drosophila pseudoobscura
Lineage: Eukaryota; Metazoa; Arthropoda; Insecta; Diptera; Drosophilidae
Exons: 2
Source: RefSeq, a predicted model, not a curated record
CCCAGAUAUAGAACAAGAGAGAGAAAAAAAGGUCCCACUAUGAAAGACAAGAAGGUCACUUUAGUUUUGGGCAGUCAAUUAAAGAGCGUGGAGAAAAACGAAGCGUGCGUAAAUAUUAGACCCCGGACGCCCAUCAUUCUACGGACGUGGAAACCAGGAUGAGCGAGGAAGGAGUAUCAUAUGCUCAAUGCGAUAGUGGCAGCAGACAUACAAGUUCCCCAGAACCACGCAAAAGCUGAACAUUAAACUGAAGGUGGGCUAUGGAAAGCAUCAAUGAAGGACGAGUACGAGUCCCUCGUCGUCCCUUUCAGUCGAACAUGGCCACCCCCUACAUCAAAUGGAUGUUGUCACGGCUUAUCUCAACGGCAAAAACGGUCCUGAGGGAGACCCCUACACAUCAAAAUGAAUAAAAACCCAAACAAAGAGGAAGGAAUCGCCUUCCGGUAAAGUCGGAAAGAACUAUUAUGGAGUACAGAGACAUAUAACGGACCGCGGCAGGACUUAGCUGGACUUAGCCCUGCUGAACGAGGGCGCCCAGCAAACCUUCUGCAGGGGAGCUGCUGGUUCGAUCAGUGACCUCAUGUUAGGAGCUCUUCGCUACUGCGCAAAGUAACUCGGAAAAUAGGAGAAGUAUACACCGGAAGCCAUUACGGAGCCAUAAUGUGCACCAUUCGCGAGCGUUCCAGACCCAGUAGGAAAAACAGUCUGAGCAAGGACUUCAUUGAGUACACGCUAAACGCGAGCGCUCUCGCCAGAAGCCUAACCAGCUAGCGUCGCAUGGAGGAGCCCUGAGAAAUCACCAGUUUUCCUCGUACAGAGCAAUUUGUCUCCUAGACAACGCGGGGAAGGUGUGCGAAAAUCUCAUUGCACAUAGGAUUAAUCGUGCCAUAGAAGAUGCCGGCGGCCUGUCGCCUAACUAGAAGGGUUUCCGGAAAGGGAGAUCGACGAGAUCACAACCAAGAAGCAGAACUGCCUGCUGGUUAUCCUCGACAAAAAUACGUUCAACACGGUAGACUGGGAAGGAAUGAUUGAUGCUCUGCGGAUUCUUAUGAUCCCGAAAUACUUCCUGAGAUCUUCCUGGACAGCGUCCUCAGCGAGAGGGUGCUGCUGUACGAGACGAGCGGGGGCCAAGAUCCUAGAGAGGAACAGCUGGAGUUCCGCAGGUGUCAGUGCUGGGGCCGCAAUUGUGGAACACGAUGUAUAAUGAAGUUCUCCGACUAAACCUGCCCGAGGACACAACGACCGUAGGCUUCGCCGACGACGUGGCCAUCGUAGUUGAAGCCAAGGACCUAGCAGCGGCGGAGGCAGCAGCAUAGCGGGACUACAGGUGACGGAAUACAAGACGGAGGCUGUUUUGAUCAGCAUCAGGAAGAAGGUGGAGACAGCUCAAAUGUCGGUCGGUGAACACGACAUUACAUCACAAAACGCGCUGAAAUACCUAGUGGUUAUGCUGGGCACCAGACAUUCAUUCAGGAAGCACAUGCAGUACGCCGAUACAAAGGCAUCCCAGACGUGCCAAGCACUCUCCCGAAUCCUACUCAAUACCAGGAGACCAACAUAAGCAAGGAGGAAACUAUGCCACAAUAUUAAACUUUUUUUACGCUGUGAACCGAACCGAUUUAUUUAAUCGAUUUGGGGCUUUAAAUUUGUGUAAUAGUUUUUCUAUGAUUUAAUUUUAUUUUAAAUUCUUAGAAUCAGUACAUUUUUGUUCUGUUUACUGUUAAAUUAAGUAUCUUACAUCUGGUUGUAUUGAAAUACUUUGUAGCUUCAGCUUGCCGUCUUGGAAAUAUUAACCUUUCCAAUAAAUCCAUUUCUUGCGUUGUUGUACUUUUGUUGUAAGGUACAUUAAGCGGGCGUCGUUUAAGGAAUCGUUUGUAAAAAUUGAUGGAUAAACCGUUUGACCCAACUUCUGAAUGCCGUAUUUUGCCAUUAAAUUCCGUUACGAUCCUUCCAAAAUGCCAGUUUACCGUUAUAAACAGUUAAAAAUCGAAAAUUGUGGUACAUAUUUCCUGUAAAAAAAGGUAUUUCGAGUAAGGGAGUUUAGCGGCAAAAUGCGGCAUUCAGAGGAUUGGUCAAAUGGCUACACCUUAAACCGAGCUUUCAAAGUCAAUAUUUAGAAAAAAUAGAAUGCAAAAAAUGAUCAAUUAUGAAUUUUAAAGUCUAGUAUUGUCCAGAGGGUAAGCAUUAGCUACAAAGUGAAUUUUUAUACAUACAUAGCUGCAUUUAUCAGCUUUACAGAAUUGCAAAGCAUUAUAACCAGACGUAAAAUGAACUUCAGUAAACAUUAAAGCCUCAAAUCUAUCAGAAAAACUCGGGUUUAUAUAAUUACAUAUAUUUACAAGUACAAGUAUGUACAUAUAAUAUUAUAAAGUUUUUAUAAUCGAUACUAAAAAUUAGUAUAGUAGUAUAUUAGAUUUUUGCUGAAAAUGGAUGUGUGUAACGUCCAGAAGGAAGCGUUUUGGCAUAGCGUCAUAUCUCCGACGACAUAUUUCCCCCGUGUCACAAACGACAUAUCUCCGCGCGGAGCUAUGAUGCUUAGAAGCGACAUAUUUCCGCGCAGCGAUUUUGACCAAAUUAUGCCGAUACACCAACGAAAAAUACA